Molecule: ribosomal RNA, 153 nt
Filed under: Triticum aestivum (bread wheat)
Lineage: Eukaryota; Viridiplantae; Streptophyta; Magnoliopsida; Poales; Poaceae
Description: partial small subunit ribosomal RNA
Source: RNAcentral
AAUGAUACUACUUUUAGUAUUAAUACUAAUACUUCUAUCAUGGUAGUAAUUACCAUAGUACUGUUAGGAGAAUGGCCAAUAGCCCUUGACCAUGGAAGGAAAGAUACAAAAAUAGUCAAUUUGCUUAUUAUGAGUAGAAGCACUUUUCAAUAG